RNAcentral lists this microRNA precursor (65 nucleotides) under Callorhinchus milii (elephant shark). RNAcentral's name for it is "Cmi-Mir-96-P2_pre stem-loop". It matches the Rfam family "mir-182 microRNA precursor family", at positions 8 to 71 of the family's 77-position model. RNAcentral also lists the same sequence under 1 other name. The record is from RNAcentral. Lineage: Eukaryota; Metazoa; Chordata; Chondrichthyes; Chimaeriformes; Callorhinchidae.
UUUGGCAAUGGUAGAACUCACACUGGUGAGAUAGUGGGAUCCGGUGGUUCUAGACUUGCCAACUA